AUUGAACGCUGGCGGCAGGCCUAACACAUGCCAGUCGAGCGGAUGAAGGGAGCUUGCUCCUGGAUUCAGCGGCGGACGGGUGAGUAAUGCCUAGGAAUCUGCCUGGUAGUGGGGGAUAACGUCCGGAAACGGGCGCUAAUACCGCAUACGUCCUCAGGGAGAAAGUGGGGGAUCUUCGGACCUCACGCUAUCAGAUGAGCCUAGGUCGGAUUAGCUAGUUGGUGGGGUAAAGGCCUACCAAGGCGACGAUCCGUAACUGGUCUGAGAGGAUGAUCAGUCACACUGGAACUGAGACACGGUCCAGACUCCUACGGGAGGCAGCAGUGGGGAAUAUUGGACAAUGGGCGAAAGCCUGAUCCAGCCAUGCCGCGUGUGUGAAGAAGGUCUUCGGAUUGUAAAGCACUUUAAGUUGGGAGGAAGGGCAGUAAGUUAAUACCUUGCUGUUUUGACGUUACCAACAGAAUAAGCACCGGCUAACUUCGUG
RNAcentral lists this ribosomal RNA (484 nucleotides) under uncultured bacterium. Its description in RNAcentral is "partial 16S ribosomal RNA". It matches the Rfam family "Bacterial small subunit ribosomal RNA", at positions 30 to 507 of the family's 1533-position model. The record is from RNAcentral.